Long non-coding RNA from Triticum aestivum (bread wheat), 1612 nucleotides. RefSeq lists it as uncharacterized. The transcript has 5 exons. The record is from RefSeq and is a predicted model, not a curated record. Lineage: Eukaryota; Viridiplantae; Streptophyta; Magnoliopsida; Poales; Poaceae.
UUUUCAGUUAAUUAAUAGAUGGGAGCGGUUUCGUCUGAACGCCGACAAGCGGGCGGUGAUUGGCGGAGGGCUCGACGGCGAGGUAGUCCGCAGAGAAUUCUCAUCGGAUGAUUCCCUCGCUCCCAUGUCCAUCACUCCCAUCUCCCCCUUUCCUCUUGUGCGACUGGGAGGCCGACAGCGGCGGCGGGGACAGAGCAUACAACGAUUCUGCGCCGGCGAGCAAUCCCAAAUCACCAAGCCAGAUUUACUAUGUCCUCGACAGCCGGGGAUGAAGGUCAUGCUUGCGGCUCGCCGCGUAUGUCCAGAAGCAAUGCCACGUCCGCCCACAAUUUCAUCCAGGCUCGCUAAUCUACAUCCAUGUUUCUUUUCUGAUCUCUUCCCGAUCUGACCUGUUCACAUAAUUUUAUACAACCAUAUUUUAGAUAGGCUUUUGAUGAGUGCACCAUGUAUCCAUGGUUGCAAAAUGAUUCCUGAGAUUUCCUUGGUAAAAUUUUUGGAAUAUUUUAGUUGUACAUAAAUUGGUUGUGCCAUCAUAACCAUUUGUUUAUUCGCUAGUAUAAAAAUACCAAAGUGAAUUCUCUAUACAUACAUACAAGAAGCACCUCUUUAAUUAGUAAUUUGCUGGUAGAAUCAUCGAUCUGUUAUUACUUGACAUAAGAAAGCUAUUACAAAUGCUAUAGGCAAUUGCGUGGAAAUUGAUCUGAGAAAUUGUUGUCGAGAUAGGUAAUCAAAUACUUGAGAACAGUUGCUCUUUAAGAUUUCCUGAGCUUUACUCUGGGUGCUCAAGUGAAGCAAUUACUUCUCACUGAAGGGUCUGUUUCUUUACUGGACUGGUCAUGUUGUUCCUAUUUUCUCUUUUAUUCAGAUAUACCUCGGAUUUCUAGAUAAGAAAGAGGUAUGCUGAACAAGAUUCAGGUCGUGCUAAGACAUCAACAAUCUAUGCCGACAAGCCUCCACUAUCUAUUGCAGAAAUGAAGAACUGUACGUGUUGAUUGCUUAUCCUGAAUAUGAUUUGGGGCGAAUAAGGCCUGACUAGCUUCUAAAUCUGCUGAACUGUACUGAUCGUGGUGUCAUGGAUGGCUGGUGAUGUUCAGAAUAAUAAGGGAAGUGCCUUAAAGCUGAAUAUCAAAUGAAAAGUUGAGCUGCACGUUGGGGUAUCCGUUCAAGUGGUUGCUGGCUAAUGUAUGAUGGAUAAAGAGUAGCGUCUUGGUAUUUAUGGUUGUGAGAAGAAAAGUGGACCUCAAUGCUACCGUACAAUUAAUAGGAUACUAUGUUGCUUCCAGCCCGUGGAUAAGAAUGUUUUAGUCGCUGGGGUCCUAGAGAGAUUGGUGAACAGAUGAAGCUGAUGGGAGAUCUCUGGUCACCUGCAAGUUAAGCUAAUUUAAGAUCAAGUUCGACGGUUACUUAGUUUCAAGUUCAGCAGUACCGCAGUAGUUAGUAUUCAAGUUCAGCAGCAAUUUUGUAAUAGUGAUUUCUGAAAUUUUCAUGCUGUUGGUUAGUUACUGCUAAGUGGCAUUCAAUUGUAUCAGGACGAAUUUUAUUUGUAAUCUCAAGGCUGGAAUUUGUUUUAGUGAGAUAUUUCCUGAAACCACUACAUGGAAUAUAUUUAUGA